AGGUUUUGGUAUCAGGAUGAUGCUGGCCUCAUAAAAUGAGUUAAGGAGGAUUCCCUCUUUUUCUAUUGAUUGGAAUAAUUUCAGAAGACACCAGUGUUGCCCAAGAGUGGACCAGCAACAGUUUGAGGCAUAUUCCUCAGAUUGAACCAACCCCUCUGGGUUCAUGUCAGUUACCGGGUGUCAAGGUUGAAGCAUUCAAUCAAUGAGCGUCACAUCAUUAAUCCAUAUUUCAUCAUCUUCUCCUAAAGUCUAAUAUGCAGCCACUGUUAAGUGUUUUGCUUAUGUCAAAAUGCAGUUUUCAAGUGUUAUUACUCUUACUUCUUAAUUCUCUUAUCCUGCUUUAUUUUUCUCCCAGCAUUUUUUCCCUAUUAACACAUAUCUAGCCACUUUUUGCCUGCUUCACCACUAGAAUGCAUGCUUCUUGAAAGCCAGAAGUUUUGUUUUGUUUUACUCGGUUGCCAGUAUCUAGAUGAACUCCUGGCAUAUAGUACCUGGCUCAAUACAUUAUUUGUGAAUGUAAUGAAUGAAUUAAUGAACUUAAUAAACUUUUUAGAAAAAAAGUUAUUAAUUUAACAUAACUUGUUAUUUAAAAACAAUCUGUAUUGCUUCAGUGGAAUCCUAUAAACCUUUCAAAAAGCAGACAAUUAAUGUACUUGAUACUCCAGUCCAAAAUUUCCAGGGAACAAUAUAUUUACUAAUCUGAAGUUUAAAACCCCUUUAAAAUUAGGCCUAUUUUUUGGCUCUAGGUUUUGGCAUCUCUCUUAUUCCUCACAAAUUCCCAAAG
This 784-nucleotide long non-coding RNA is filed under the name Homo sapiens (human). RNAcentral's name for it is "HSALNT0298366". The record is from RNAcentral. Lineage: Eukaryota; Metazoa; Chordata; Mammalia; Primates; Hominidae.